Molecule: ribosomal RNA, 492 nt
Filed under: uncultured bacterium
Lineage: Bacteria
Description: partial 16S ribosomal RNA
Rfam family: Bacterial small subunit ribosomal RNA
Source: RNAcentral
AGUGAACGCUGGCGGUAGGCCUAACACAUGCAAGUCGAACGGCAGCACAGUAAGAGCUUGCUCUUACGGGUGGCGAGUGGCGGACGGGUGAGGAAUACAUCGGAAUCUACUUUUUCGUGGGGGAUAACGUAGGGGAACUUACGCUAAUACCGCAUACGACCUACGGGUGAAAGCAGGGGAUCUUCGGACCUUGCGCGAUUGAAUGAGACGAUGUCGGAUUAGCUAGUUGGCGGGGUAAAGGCCCACCAAGGCGACGAUCCGUAGCUGGUCUGAGAGGAUGAUCAGCCACACUGGAACUGAGACACGGUCCAGACUCCUACGGGAGGCAGCAGUGGGGAAUAUUGGACAAAGGGCGCAAGCCUGAUCCAGCCAUACCGCGUGGGUGAAGAAGGCCUUCGGGUUGUAAAGCCCUUUUGUUGGGAAAGAAAAGCAGCAGGUUAAUACCCCGCUGUUCUGACGGUACCCAAAGAAUAAGCACCGGCUAACUUCGUG